GAGUUUGAUCCUGGCUCAGAUUGAACGCUGGCGGCAGGCCUAACACAUGCAAGUCGAGCGGUAGAGAGAAGCUUGCUUCUCUUGAGAGCGGCGGACGGGUGAGUAAUGCCUAGGAAUCUGCCUGGUAGUGGGGGAUAACGCUCGGAAACGGACGCUAAUACCGCAUACGUCCUACGGGAGAAAGCAGGGGACCUUCGGGCCUUGCGCUAUCAGAUGAGCCUAGGUCGGACUAGCUAGUUGGUGAGGUAAUGGCUCACCAAGGCGACGAUCCGUAACUGGUCUGAGAGGAUGAUUAGUCACACUGGAACUGAGACACGGUCCAGACUCCUACGGGAGGCAGCAGUGGGGAAUAUUGGACAAUGGGCGAAAGCCUGAUCCAGCCAUGCCGCGUGUGUGAAGAAGGUCUUCGGAUUGUAAAGCACUUUAAGUUGGGAGGAAGGGCAGUAAAUUAAUACUUUGCUGUUUUGACGUUACCGACAGAAUAAGCACCGGCUAACUCUGUGCCAGCAGCCG
Molecule: ribosomal RNA, 513 nt
Filed under: uncultured bacterium
Lineage: Bacteria
Description: bacterial SSU rRNA
Rfam family: Bacterial small subunit ribosomal RNA
Source: RNAcentral